RNAcentral lists this ribosomal RNA (485 nucleotides) under uncultured bacterium. RNAcentral describes it as "bacterial SSU rRNA". It matches the Rfam family "Bacterial small subunit ribosomal RNA", at positions 32 to 507 of the family's 1533-position model. The record is from RNAcentral.
AACGCUGGCGGCAGGCCUAACACAUGCAAGUCGAGCGGCAGCGGAAAGUAGCUUGCUACUUUGCCGGCGAGCGGCGGACGGGUGAGUAAUGUCUGGGAAACUGCCUGAUGAGGGGGAUAACUACUGGAAACGGUAGCUAAUACCGCAUAACCUCGAAAGAGCAAAGUGGGGGAUCUUCGGACCUCACGCCAUCGGAUGUGCCCAGAUGGGAUUAGCUAGUAGGUGAGGUAAUGGCUCACCUAGGCGACGAUCCCUAGCUGGUCUGAGAGGAUGACCAGCCACACUGGAACUGAGACACGGUCCAGACUCCUACGGGAGGCAGCAGUGGGGAAUAUUGCACAAUGGGCGCAAGCCUGAUGCAGCCAUGCCGCGUGUGUGAAGAAGGCCUUAGGGUUGUAAAGCACUUUCAGCGAGGAGGAAGGCAUCAUACUUAAUACGUGUGGUGAUUGACGUUACUCGCAGAAGAAGCACCGGCUAACUCCGUG